GGGUUGUGAGGUUAAGCGACUAAGCGUACACGGUGGAUGCCCUGGCAGUCAGAGGCGAUGAAGGGCGUGCUAAUCUGCGAUAAGCGCCGGUAAGGUGAUAUGAACCGUUAUAACCGGCGAUACCCGAAUGGGGAAACCCAGUGUGAUUCGUCACACUAUCAUUAACUGAAUCCAUAGGUUAAUGAGGCGAACCGGGGGAACUGAAACAUCUAAGUACCCCGAGGAAAAGAAAUCAACCGAGAUUCCCCCAGUAGCGGCGAGCGAACGGGGAGGAGCCCAGAGCCUGAAUCAGCAUGUGUGUUAGUGGAAGCGUCUGGAAAGGCGCGCGAUACAGGGUGACAGCCCCGUACACAAAAGCGCAUAUGCUGUGAGCUCGAUGAGUAGGGCGGGACACGUGGUAUCCUGUCUGAAUAUGGGGGGACCAUCCUCCAAGGCUAAAUACUCCUGACUGACCGAUAGUGAACCAGUACCGUGAGGGAAAGGCGAAAAGAACCCCGGCGAGGGGAGUGAAAAAGAACCUGAAACCGUGUACGUACAAGCAGUGGGAGCCCCACCACUAAGCCAGUGGU
RNAcentral lists this ribosomal RNA (569 nucleotides) under Salmonella enterica subsp. enterica serovar Poona. RNAcentral describes it as "partial 23S ribosomal RNA". It matches the Rfam family "Bacterial large subunit ribosomal RNA", at positions 1 to 594 of the family's 2925-position model. The record is from RNAcentral. Lineage: Bacteria; Pseudomonadati; Pseudomonadota; Gammaproteobacteria; Enterobacterales; Enterobacteriaceae.